This 1531-nucleotide long non-coding RNA is filed under the name Heterocephalus glaber (naked mole-rat). Its description in RNAcentral is "lncRNA (ENSHGLG00100046484.1)". Lineage: Eukaryota; Metazoa; Chordata; Mammalia; Rodentia; Bathyergidae. The record is from RNAcentral.
AUCGAGGAGGUAGAGCCACACGCUUACCUUAGGGAAACACCUUGCACGUUAUAACUGGACAGGUAAAUGUUUGGUGAAAGAGGAUAAAGGAAAUAGAGCCGGUGGCGUGCGAGGAUAUUCAGGAAAACGUCCGGGGCACUGAACUCCCACCACCACUUAGGGAGGCUUUUCCUGUGGAGCCUCGCCCUCCGGUCGGAAGUCGCCUCAACCUGCCUGCCCGGAAGCCGUCGCCUUAGCAACACAGCGUUGUCCCGUCCUCUUCCCUUAGCCACGCCCAUUGUACUUAGAAUUCUAGAGCCAGCCAGACAUCGAUUGGUUCACUUAUCCUUCACUCCGCGAGACAGGCGAGACUGCAGGGCUCUGGAGCGCGUUUUUGAAUUUGUAGCGCGUAUAGAGUCCGUGAGGUACCUUGUGGAGUUCGUGCUGUGGCUGGAGCCAGCUACUCAGGGAUGUCUGAUUUCUGUGUAGCCCAGUGCCUUGUAAAAAGAAGCUGAUCAAUAAGUGUACAGAAUGGAGCUUGUGAUAUCUCUUCCCCCAUAACUGCUCAUCUUCAAUUCAGUGAAUGAAACCACUAUUUGUGAACUCUGAAGUCCUGAGCUAUGGCAGAACUCAAGCCCCUCAAGUCACAUAGAAAUCUACCCAUCAAACACUGGAUUGCCAUAGAGAUCGUACCCCAUAUCCUGGAGAAAGGACUGCUGCACAGAGAAGCCAAAAAGAACAGACAGCCUCAGUGGAUUAGCAACCAUGUCUAUGCAGCGGUGUCUCCACAAAAACCCUAAAAGCGCCUGCCCCUGGCUCAGCGCCCGGUGCCAACAGAACACCUUUCAGGAUUCACAGCAGCGCAGACAACAAGUCCAGGAUCCCGGCCUCUGAUUGGAACAGAACAGUGUCAUGGCGGAGACGACGGCCUUUGUCUUGCUGGAUGUGAAAACAUCCGCUGUGCUGGCUCCACUGCGGCAGAAUCAAGUUUAAAGGAAAAAAAGUGAUUAAAGUCAGCUUUGUGCCUCUUUGGUGUGGAAGACCCACAGACCUCAAGUAGCCGACUCCCAGGUCCGAGGAAGGGCUCAUAGUUGGAGCAGCCUAGGCUGUAAUCCUGGCACUGGCGCCUUCGGUUGCUGCUUGCUGUUCGCUCCUGGGGGUCUGGAUAAUCUCCCUUGGCUUUACCGCACUGUCUGGCCCGCAUACAGGGCCCCGUAACAUAUACCCGCUCCUGCUAUCACACGAAACUGUGGCGUUGCCCCUGAAUGGAUGGCACCGUGCCAACUCUUCUGCCAUCCGCCCUUGCAGCUUUUUUCUUUCCUCCCUCCCUCCCCUUCUUCUCCUCCUCCCGUCGACUUGACGUUAAUUAACACACGGGUUAAUUGAUUUUAAAAGCCGAAGAAUUACAGUUAACUUUUCCCACAGGGUACAGACGCCAGCCGCUUGGCACACUCUGCCUUUCGCACUAGUUAGUGCAGGGGGGCAGGGAAAGCCCACAGCAAAACUAGCAACUGCUGAAGGAACGUUGCUUGCUUAUUGGAGUAGAGCCGAC